Molecule: small RNA, 731 nt
Filed under: Pholiota lenta
Lineage: Eukaryota; Fungi; Basidiomycota; Agaricomycetes; Agaricales; Strophariaceae
Description: eukaryotic LSU rRNA
Rfam family: 5.8S ribosomal RNA (bases 311-464)
Source: RNAcentral
UCUUGGUCAUUUUAGAGGAAGUAAAAGUCGUAACAAGGUUUCCGUAGGUGAACCUGCGGAAGGAUCAUUAUUGAAUAAACCUGAUGUGAUUGUUGCUGGUCCUCUCGGGGGCAUGUGCACAUCCGUCAUCUUUAUCUUUCCACCUGUGCACAUUUUGUAGAUCUGAAAUUUUUUCCGAGGCAACUCGUUUAGAGGGACUGCUGUGCGUCACUGCCAGCUUCCUUUGGAAUUUCAGGUCUAUGUUUUCAUAUACACCAUAAAAAUGUAAUAGAAUGUUAUUAUUGGGCCUUGUUGCCUAUAAACUAUAUACAACUUUCAGCAACGGAUCUCUUGGCUCUCGCAUCGAUGAAGAACGCAGCGAAAUGCGAUAAGUAAUGUGAAUUGCAGAAUUCAGUGAAUCAUCGAAUCUUUGAACGCACCUUGCGCUCCUUGGUAUUCCGAGGAGCAUGCCUGUUUGAGUGUCAUUAAAUUCUCAACCUUAUUAGCUUUUGUUGAUAAUGGCUUGGAUGUGGGGGUUUGCCGGUUUCUUACUGAGAUCAGCUCCCCUUAAAUGCAUUAGCUGGUUGCCUUGUGCAGACUUGUCUAUUGGUGUGAUAAUUAUCUACGCCGUGGACUUUCUGCCAGUUUUUAGCACCGCUUCUAACUGUCUGUUUACUCGGACAAUAUAUGACAAUUUGACCUCAAAUCAGGUAGGACUACCCGCUGAACUUAAGCAUAUCAAUAAAGCGGGA